GAAGCAGAUGGAAGUACUCAACGACCGUUGUAACUGCCCAGCUGUUGAAACUCUUUUGUACCGAAGGACCCUGCAGCAAAGUCCAAUUGUUACACAGUCAUGACCACUUAGAAAAAAGUAUAAUAAAGAUAGAAAACUAAGAAAAAUUCCAUGAUAUACCAGAGCAUAAGGAAGAUUCAACCACCAAGGAUCAAUAUCAUUCUUUGAUCGAUUGCCACUGACUUUGUUAGCCACUGAUUCCUUUUCAGCUUCUUGGAAUAAUACUUACUUUCUGGUGCAAGGACAAAUGCCGACUUAUUUCCAACUCCAACACCAACCAUUCUGCAUCACUGUUGAAAAAAAGUAUUAUAGGUUGAUCAAAUACUACUAUGUAGUAGUGUAAUUUCAUAUUAAGUGCUUUUUGUCACCUAUAAUUUGUUAAGCUUUUGUUUAGAUUCAGUUGGCAAAAGCUUUAUUGUAUCGCACACAAAAUUUUGAAGAAAG
RNAcentral lists this long non-coding RNA (483 nucleotides) under Malus domestica (apple). RNAcentral's name for it is "long non-coding RNA (MDOM_LNC007160)". The record is from RNAcentral. Lineage: Eukaryota; Viridiplantae; Streptophyta; Magnoliopsida; Rosales; Rosaceae.